RNAcentral lists this ribosomal RNA (544 nucleotides) under uncultured bacterium. Its description in RNAcentral is "bacterial SSU rRNA". It matches the Rfam family "Bacterial small subunit ribosomal RNA", at positions 777 to 1319 of the family's 1533-position model. The record is from RNAcentral.
AAUAGAUACCCGGGUAGUCCACGCCGUAAACGAUGAGUGCUAAGUGUUGGGGGGGUUUCCGCUCCUCAGUGCUGCAGCUAACGCAUUAAGCACUCCGCCUGGGGGAGUACGGUCGCAAGACUGAAACUCAAAGGAAUUGACGGGGGCCCGCACAAGCGGUGGAGCAUGUGGUUUAAUUCGAAGCAACGCGAAGAACCUUACCAGGUCUUGACAUCCCGGUGACCACUAUGGAGACAUAGUUUCCCCUUCGGGGGGCAACGGUGACAGGUGGUGCAUGGUUGUCGUCAGCUCGUGUCGUGAGAUGUUGGGUUAAGUCCCGCAACGAGCGCAACCCUUAUUCUUAGUUGCCAUCAUUCAGUUGGGCACUCUAAGGAGACUGCCGGUGAUAAACCGGAGGAAGGUGGGGAUGACGUCAAAUCAUCAUGCCCCUUAUGACCUGGGCUACACACGUGCUACAAUGGACGGUACAACGGUUGCCAACCCGCGAGGGGAGCUAAUCCGAUAAACCGUUCUCAGUUCGGAUUGUAGGCUGCAACUCGCCUAC